This 771-nucleotide small RNA is filed under the name Pongo abelii (Sumatran orangutan). RNAcentral's name for it is "processed transcript". Lineage: Eukaryota; Metazoa; Chordata; Mammalia; Primates; Hominidae. The record is from RNAcentral.
CUGGGGCUGCUUGCUGACCGCUUUUGCAGCCUCUGUCCUGGAUGACUUUUACCUUUCUGCUGAAUAAGUUGCAGUGGAGAUUUCAAGAUCCCUUCAAAUUGCACAAUUCUGUUUUUAGGUCCAUCCAGAACCACCCACUGCAUGCAGAGAAAAACAGUACCUAAUAAACAGUCAGUGCUGUUCUUUGUGCCAGCCAGGACAGAAACUGGUGAGUGACUGCACAGAGUUCACCGAAACAGAAUGCCUUCCUUGCGGUGAAAGCGAAUUCCUAGACACCUGGAACAGAGAGACACGCUGCCACCAGCACAAAUACUGCGACCCCAACCUAGGGCUUCGGGUCCAGCAGAAGGGCACCUCAGAAACAGACACCAUCUGCACCUGUGAAGAAGGCCGGCACUGUACGAGUGAGGCCUGUGAGAGCUGUGUUCUGCACCGCUCAUGCUCACCCGGCUUUGGGGUCAAGCGUAUUGCUGUGAGACCAAAGACCUGGUUGUGCAACAGGCAGGCACAAACAAGACUGAUGUUGUCUGUGGUCCCCAGGAUCGGCUGAGAGCCCUGGUGGUGAUCCCCAUCAUCUUCGGGAUCCUGUUUGCCAUCCUCUUGGUGCUGGUCUUUAUCAAAAAGGUGGCCAAGAAGCCAACCAAUAAGGCCCCCCACCCCAAGCAGGAACCCCAGGAGAUCAAUUUUCCCGACGACCUUCCUGGCUCCAACACUGGCGCUCCAGUGCAGGAGACUUUACAUGGAUGCCAACCGGUCACCCAGGAGGAUGGC